UUAAGCGACUAAGCGUACACGGUGGAUGCCCUGGCAGUCAGAGGCGAUGAAGGACGUGCUAAUCUGCGAAAAGCGUCGGUAAGGUGAUAUGAACCGUUAUAACCGGCGAUGUCCGAAUGGGGAAACCCAGUGCAAUUCGUUGCACUAUCGUUAACUGAAUACAUAGGUUAACGAGGCGAACCGGGGGAACUGAAACAUCUAAGUACCCCGAGGAAAAGAAAUCAACCGAGAUUCCCCCAGUAGCGGCGAGCGAACGGGGAGCAGCCCAGAGUCUGAAUCAGCUUGUGUGUUAGUGGAACGGUCUGGAAAGUCCGACGGUACAGGGUGAUAGUCCCGUACACCAAAAUGCACAGGUUGUGAACUCGAAGAGUAGGGCGGGACACGUGGUAUCCUGUCUGAAUAUGGGGGGACCAUCCUCCAAGGCUAAAUACUCCUGACUGACCGAUAGUGAACCAGUACCGUGAGGGAAAGGCGAAAAGAACCCCGGCGAGGGGAGUGAAAAAGAACCUGAAACCGUGUACGUACAAGCAGKGGGAGCACCUUCGGGUGUGACUGCGUACCUUUUGUAUAAUGGGUCAGCGACUUAUAUUCUGUAGCAAGGUUAACCGUAUAGGGGAGCCGCAGGGAAACCGAGUCUUAACUGGGCGUUAAGUUGCAGGGUAUAGACCCGAAACCCGGUGAUCUAGCCAUGGGCAGGUUGAAGGUUGGGUAACACUAACUGGAGGACCGAACCGACUAAUGUUGAAAAAUUAGCGGAUGACUUGUGGCUGGGGGUGAAAGGCCAAUCAAACCGGGAGAUAGCUGGUUCUCCCCGAAAGCUAUUUAGGUAGCGCCUCGUGAACUCAUCUUCGGGGGUAGAGCACUGUUUCGGCUAGGGGGUCAUCCCGACUUACCAACCCGAUGCAAACUACGAAUACCGAAGAAUGUUAUCACGGGAGACACACGGCGGGUGCUAACGUCCGUCGKGAAGAGGGAAACAACCCAGACCGCCAGCUAAGGUCCCAAAGUCAUGGUUAAGUGGGAAACGAUGUGGGAAGGCACAGACAGCCAGGAUGUUGGCUUAGAAGCAGCCAUCAUUUAAAGAAAGCGUAAUAGCUCACUGGUCGAGUCGGCCUGCGCGGAAGAUGUAACGGGGCUAAACCAUGCACCGAAGCUGCGGCAGCGACACUAUGUGUUGUUGGGUAGGGGAGCGUUCUGUAAGCCUGCGAAGGUGACCUGUGAGGGUUGCUGGAGGUAUCAGAAGUGCGAAUGCUGACAUAAGUAACGAUAAAGCGGGUGAAAAGCCCGCUCGCCGGAAGACCAAGGGUUCCUGUCCAACGUUAAUCGGGGCAGGGUGAGUCGACCCCUAAGGCGAGGCCGAAAGGCGUAGUCGAUGGGAAACAGGUUAAUAUUCCUGUACUUGGUGUUACUGCGAAGGGGGGACGGAGAAGGCUAUGUUAGCCGGGCGACGGUUGUCCCGGUUUAAGCAUGUAGGCUGAUUGUCCAGGCAAAUCCGGAUAAUCAAGGCUGAGGUGUGAUGACGAGGCACUACGGUGCUGAAGUAACAAAUGCCCUGCUUCCAGGAAAAGCCUCUAAGCAUCAGGUAACAUUAAAUCGUACCCCAAACCGACACAGGUGGUCAGGUAGAGAAUACCAAGGCGCUUGAGAGAACUCGGGUGAAGGAACUAGGCAAAAUGGUGCCGUAACUUCGGGAGAAGGCACGCUGGUGUGUAGGUGAAGUCCCUGCGGAUGGAGCUGAGACCAGUCGAAGAUACCAGCUGGCUGCAACUGUUUAUUAAAAACACAGCACUGUGCAAACACGAAAGUGGACGUAUACGGUGUGACGCCUGCCCGGUGCCGGAAGGKUAAUUGAUGGGGUUAUCCGUAAGGAGAAGCUCUUGAUCGAAGCCCCGGUAAACGGCGGCCGUAACUAUAACGGUCCUAAGGUAGCGAAAUUCCUUGUCGGGUAAGUUCCGACCUGCACGAAUGGCGUAAUGAUGGCCAGGCUGUCUCCACCCGAGACUCAGUGAAAUUGAACUCGCUGUGAAGAUGCAGUGUACCCGCGGCAAGACGGAAAGACCCCGUGAACCUUUACUAUAGCUUGACACUGAACAUUGAGCCUUGAUGUGUAGGAUAGGUGGGAGGCUUUGAAGCGUGGACGCCAGUCUGCGUGGAGCCAACCUUGAAAUACCACCCUUUAAUGUUUGAUGUUCUAACGUUGGCCCCUGACCGGGGUUGCGGACAGUGUCUGGUGGGUAGUUUGACUGGGGCGGUCUCCUCCCAAAGCGUAACGGAGGAGCACGAAGGUUAGCUAAUCCUGGUCGGACAUCAGGAGGUUAGUGCAAUGGCAUAAGCUAGCUUGACUGCGAGCGUGACGGCGCGAGCAGGUGCGAAAGCAGGUCAUAGUGAUCCGGUGGUUCUGAAUGGAAGGGCCAUCGCUCAACGGAUAAAAGGUACUCCGGGGAUAACAGGCUGAUACCGCCCAAGAGUUCAUAUCGACGGCGGUGUUUGGCACCUCGAUGUCGGCUCAUCACAUCCUGGGGCUGAAGUAGGUCCCAAGGGUAUGGCUGUUCGCCAUUUAAAGUGGUACGCGAGCUGGGUUUAGAACGUCGUGAGACAGUUCGGUCCCUAUCUGCCGUGGGCGCUGGAGAAUUGAGGGGGGCUGCUCCUAGUACGAGAGGACCGGAGUGGACGCAUCACUGGUGUUCGGGUUGUCAUGCCAAUGGCACUGCCCGGUAGCUAAAUGCGGAAGAGAUAAGUGCUGAAAGCAUCUAAGCACGAAACUUGCCCCGAGAUGAGUUCUCCCUGAGACUUUAAGUCUCCUGAAGGAACGUUGAAGACGACGACGUUGAUAGGCCGGGUGUGUAAGCGCAGCGAUGCGUUGAGCUAACCGGUACUAAUGAACCGUGAGGCUUAACCUU
Molecule: ribosomal RNA, 2900 nt
Filed under: Klebsiella pneumoniae
Lineage: Bacteria; Pseudomonadati; Pseudomonadota; Gammaproteobacteria; Enterobacterales; Enterobacteriaceae
Description: bacterial LSU rRNA
Rfam family: Bacterial large subunit ribosomal RNA
Source: RNAcentral